CCACGUAGGUUAUUUGACUGGUCAACACAUCCAUUUGACUGGUCACCAGAAUGGAAUACGGUGUUAUACAGUGAGUCGGCGAUCGCAUAAUUACCACGACCUGUAUAUAGUAACCGUAACGAGCAUAUUUUAAAGUCGAGUGUGUUUGGACUUCAAAUACAUUCGUAUUUAUCUCUUUUCAUUGUCCUAUGUGUGGGUCGAAGGCCCUCUAAUUUUUUCUUGUAACAAAAGGUUACAU
This 238-nucleotide long non-coding RNA is filed under the name Hordeum vulgare. Its description in RNAcentral is "long non-coding RNA (HVUL_LNC007017)". The record is from RNAcentral. Lineage: Eukaryota; Viridiplantae; Streptophyta; Magnoliopsida; Poales; Poaceae.